UACGUAUGGUGCAAGCGUUAUCCGGAUUUACUGGGCGUAAAGGGAGCGCAGGCGGCGCACCAAGUCUGAUGUGAAACCCCGGGGCUCAACCCCGGGCAUGCAUUGGAAACUGGCGGGCUGGAGUGCCGGAGAGGUAAGCGGAAUUCCUAGUGUAGCGGUGAAAUGCGUAGAUAUUAGGAGGAACACCAGUGGCGAAGGCGGCUUACUGGACGGCAACUGACGCUGAGGCUCGAAAGCGUGGGGAGCAAACAGG
RNAcentral lists this ribosomal RNA (253 nucleotides) under uncultured bacterium. RNAcentral describes it as "partial 16S ribosomal RNA". It matches the Rfam family "Bacterial small subunit ribosomal RNA", at positions 524 to 776 of the family's 1533-position model. The record is from RNAcentral.